Molecule: unclassified non-coding RNA, 337 nt
Filed under: soil metagenome
Description: partial contains 5.8S ribosomal RNA, internal transcribed spacer 2, and large subunit ribosomal RNA
Rfam family: 5.8S ribosomal RNA (bases 1-120)
Source: RNAcentral
GAUGAAGAACGUAGCGAAAUGCGAUAAGUAGUGUGAAUUGCAGAAUUCAGUGAAUCAUCGAAUCUUUGAACGCACAUUGCGCCCUUUGGUAUUCCUUAGGGCAUGCCUGUUCGAGCGUCAUUUACAAAUUCAAGCUCAGCUUGGUGAUGGGUGUCUGUCCCGCCUUUGCGUGUGGACUCGCCUCAAAUGCAGUUGGCAGCUUGUUCCUCGGCUCUAAACGCAGCAGAUUUGCGUCGAGCGUCGUGCGGACGGGCUCUCCAGUAAGCAAACCCCCACAAAUUGACCUCGGAUCAGGUAGGGAUACCCGCUGAACUUAAGCAUAUCAAUAAGCGGAGGA